CAGCAGCCGCGGCAAUACCGGCGGCCCGAGUGGCGGUCACUAUUAUUGGGCUUAAAGCGUCCGUAGCCGGGUUGGGAAGUCCUCCGGGAAAUCUGGCCGCUUAACGGUCAGAAUGCCGGAGGAUACUCCCAGCCUAGGGAGCGGGAGAGGCCGAGGGGAUUCCCGGAGGAGGGGGGAAAUCCUAUAAUCCCGGGAGGACCACCUGUGGCGAAGGCGCUCGGCUGGAACGCGUCCGACGGUGAGGGACGAAGGCCAGGGGAGCAAACCGGAUUAGAUACCCGGGUAGUCCUGGCGGUAAACGAUGCGGACUUUGUGUCGGACAAGCUAUGAGCUUGUCCGGUGCCGGAGGGAAACCGUUAAGUCCGCCGCCUGGGGAGUACGGCCGCAAGGCUGAAACUUAAAGGAAUUGGCGGG
This 414-nucleotide ribosomal RNA is filed under the name uncultured microorganism. RNAcentral describes it as "bacterial SSU rRNA". It matches the Rfam family "Archaeal small subunit ribosomal RNA", at positions 459 to 872 of the family's 1478-position model. The record is from RNAcentral.